GUAAAGAAGAAGAAGAGGAAGAAGAAGAAGAAGAGUAAC
RNAcentral lists this small RNA (39 nucleotides) under Arabidopsis thaliana (thale cress). RNAcentral describes it as "ATSL144470". The record is from RNAcentral. Lineage: Eukaryota; Viridiplantae; Streptophyta; Magnoliopsida; Brassicales; Brassicaceae.